CUGGUUGAUCCUGCCAGAGGUUACUGCUAUCGAGAUUCGACUAAGCCAUGCGAGUCGAAUGUUCUUCGUGAACAUGGCGAACUGCUCAGUAACACGUGGACAACCUACCCUUGGGUUCGGCAUAAUCCUGGGAAACUGGGGAUAAUACCGGAUAGGUCACAGCUGCUGGAAUGCACUGUGGCUCAAAGCUCCGGCGCCCAAGGAUGGGUCUGCGGCCUAUCAGGGUUGUAGUGGGUGUAAUGUACCUACUAGCCUACGACGGGUACGGGUUGUGAGAGCAAGAGCCCGGAGAUGGAUUCUGAGACACGAAUCCAGGCCCUACGGGGUGCAGCAGGCGCGAAAACUUUACAAUGCGGGAAACCGUGAUAAGGGAAUCUCGAGUGCCAGCAUAUAAUGUUGGCUGUCCAGAUGCCUAAAAAGCAUCUGUUAGCAAGGGCCGGGCAAGACCGGUGCCAGCCGCCGCGGUAACACCGGCGGCCCGAGUGGUAACCGCUAUUAUUGGGUCUAAAGGGUCUGUAACCGGCCAGGUAAGUCCCUUGGGAAAUCUGGCAGCUCAACUGUCAGGCUGCUAGGGGAUACUGUUCGGCUUGGGACCGGGAGAGGUGAGAGGUACCUUGGGGGUAGGGGUGAAAUCUUGUGAUCCUCGGGGGACCACCAGUGGCGAAUGCGUCUCACCAGAACGGGUCCGACGGUGAGGCACGAAAGCUAGGGGCACGAACAGGAUUAGAUACCCGGGUAGUCCUAGCCGUAAACGAUGCUCGCUAGGUGUCAGUCACUGUGCGACCGUGAUUGGUGCCGUAGGGAAGCCGUGAAGCGAGCCACCUGGGAAGUAUGGCCGCAAGGUUGAAACUUUAAGGAAUUGGCGGGGGAGCACUAC
RNAcentral lists this ribosomal RNA (877 nucleotides) under uncultured archaeon. Its description in RNAcentral is "bacterial SSU rRNA". It matches the Rfam family "Archaeal small subunit ribosomal RNA", at positions 4 to 882 of the family's 1478-position model. The record is from RNAcentral.